RNAcentral lists this ribosomal RNA (438 nucleotides) under uncultured bacterium. Its description in RNAcentral is "partial 16S ribosomal RNA". It matches the Rfam family "Bacterial small subunit ribosomal RNA", at positions 339 to 795 of the family's 1533-position model. The record is from RNAcentral.
CUACGGGAGGCUGCAGUGAGGAAUAUUGCACAAUGGGGGGAACCCUGAUGCAGCAACGCCGCGUGGAGGAUGACGCAUUCGGUGUGUAAACUCCUUUUAUAUGUCAAGAAAAUGACGGUAGCAUAUGAAUAAGCACCGGCUAACUCCGUGCCAGCAGCCGCGGUAAUACGGAGGGUGCAAGCGUUACUCGGAAUCACUGGGCGUAAAGGACGCGUAGGCGGGUUGGAAAGUCAGGUGUGAAAUCCUACAGCUUAACUGUAGAACUGCACUUGAAACUUCUAAUCUAGAGUAUGGGAGGGGGAGAUGGAAUUAGCGGUGUAGGGGUAAAAUCCGUAGAUAUCACUAGGAAUACCUAAAGCGAAGGCGAUCUCCUGGAACAUUACUGACGCUAAGGCGUGAAAGCGUGGGGAGCAAACAGGAUUAGAUACCCGCGUAGUC